This 253-nucleotide ribosomal RNA is filed under the name uncultured bacterium. RNAcentral's name for it is "partial 16S ribosomal RNA". It matches the Rfam family "Bacterial small subunit ribosomal RNA", at positions 524 to 776 of the family's 1533-position model. The record is from RNAcentral.
UACGUAGGGUGCAAGCGUUGUCCGGAAUUAUUGGGCGUAAAGAGCUCGUAGGCGGUUUGUCGCGUCUGCUGUGAAAUCCCGAGGCUCAACCUCGGGUCUGCAGUCGAUACGGGCGGACUGGAGUUCGGCAGGGGAGACUGGAAUUCCUGGUGUAGCGGUGAAAUGCGCAGAUAUCAGGAGGAACACCGGUGGCGAAGGCGGGUCUCUGGGCCGAUACUGACGCUGAGGAGCGAAAGCGUGGGGAGCAAACAGG